Molecule: ribosomal RNA, 252 nt
Filed under: uncultured bacterium
Lineage: Bacteria
Description: partial 16S ribosomal RNA
Rfam family: Bacterial small subunit ribosomal RNA
Source: RNAcentral
UACGUAGGGUGCGAGCGUUGCCCGGAUUUAUUGGGCGUAAAGGGCGCGUAGGCGGCUCGGCACGUCCGUUGUGAAAUCGCCCGGCUCAACUGGGCGGGGUCAGCGGAUACGGUCGAGCUUGAGCAAGCUAGGGGGCAAUGGAAUUCCCGGUGUAGUGGUGAAAUGCGUAGAUAUCGGAAGAACACCAGUGGCGAAGGCGACUUACUGGACACAUAUUGACGCUGAGGUGCGAAAGCGUGGGGAGCAAACAGG